ACACGUGGGUAACCUGCCUUAUAGUGGGGGAUAGCCUUUCGAAAGGAAGAUUAAUACCGCAUAAGAUUGUAGUAUCGCAUGAUAUAGCAAUUAAAGGAGCAAUUCGCUAUAAGAUGGACCCGCGUCGCAUUAGCUAGUAGGUGAGGUAAUGGCUCACCAAGGCGACGAUGCGUAGCCGACCUGAGAGGGUGAACGGCCACAUUGGGACUGAGACACGGCCCAGACUCCUACGGGAGGCAGCAUG
This 244-nucleotide ribosomal RNA is filed under the name uncultured bacterium. RNAcentral's name for it is "partial 16S ribosomal RNA". It matches the Rfam family "Bacterial small subunit ribosomal RNA", at positions 113 to 353 of the family's 1533-position model. The record is from RNAcentral.